Benincasa hispida (wax gourd) is the source of this 679-nucleotide long non-coding RNA. RefSeq lists it as uncharacterized. The record is from RefSeq and is a predicted model, not a curated record. NCBI's taxonomy places the organism in Eukaryota, Viridiplantae, Streptophyta, Magnoliopsida, Cucurbitales, Cucurbitaceae.
UGCAGAGUGUCUGCAAAUGUGAGUUAGUUUUUUUUUUUUUUUUUUUACGUAAAAAUUAACUUACUCUCUCCCCGUUCAGAAAUCUCUCUCUCUCAAAAAUACUCUCUAAUAACUAAAAAAAAAUACAUAGGAGAUGUUCUCUACCAAAAGCCAAUUCCCUUCUUUUAAAAAGGUUCCCACGUAACUGUUCCUUGCUAAAAGAAUAGCAUGAAAGAUUCUUUUAGAGGUAUCUUGUUUAUGAAAGAAGAGUUCAGGUUUCAAAUCAAGACUUGGAGAAGUUUGAAGAAAGGUUUUUAAAGGGUCGUUCAUGUUAAAGUGGUUUCUAUGAAGAGGAUCGGAAACCAGAGGCAGAAUUGCAAAAGUUCGGCAGGCAGUAGCAGUUUUGUGUUGUAAUGUCGCAACGCUUGGCAAUCAGACGCAUCAGUGCCGCAGUGCUCAACAUUUUCAACCCCUACCCUGUUCCGAAACGUAGAGUUGCACUGCGAUUCAAAGGAGGCAGUGUCGCGACGCUGUCCUUUGGCAUCGCGACACUCUAACAGUUGAAGGCCACUUCUUGCGAGCAUCCAGGAUGCUGUUCAUGGGGAGUUUUUUUAAUUAAUGUAAUUUUUAUAUUUUAUUAAAUCAAUAAUAAUAUUGAUUACAUUAACUUAAUUUUAUUAAGGUGUCAAUAUUUUGUCAA